Non-coding RNA from Paramuricea clavata, 983 nucleotides. NCBI's taxonomy places the organism in Eukaryota, Metazoa, Cnidaria, Anthozoa, Malacalcyonacea, Plexauridae. The record is from the annotation of a GenBank genome assembly.
AAGAUCGUGUAUUUUCCUUGAAUUGUAAUACACCCUUUCGAUAAUUACGUCACAACUACACUGUUUUCAACUUAGCACCACCUUAAAUGUAAAGGAUUUCAAGUUUUUUUCUCAUGAGUUAUGCACGUGUAUUAAGUAUCAAAGUAGAAAUGUCAUGAUGUCAUCUUUGAAUUUUGUUAAAUGACAUGGAAUAUCGGUAUUGGAAAAAUAUCGGUCCUUCAAUAUCGAUUAUCGGAAUAUCGGUGAAUUUCCAAAUCGGUGCAUCACUAUUAUCAAGGUUGCUCCACAUCAUGGAAAUCCAAUUUACCAAAAUGCCCAUCGCGCGCUUAUAUCGUUAACCGCAGACAGGAUGGGUGGGGAUUGCAGAGGCACCCUUAAAGGAACUAUAUAGGCCUUCUGGCAGAAAUCGAAUAUUUGGCCCUGCGAUUCCUAACCAACUGAGCUACAGAGUCCAGUUUUUGAGCUCUAACCACAAGUUCAUGCAUCUAUACUCAAAGCGAUGCCAUGGUUAAGGUUUUAUUCAUGUUUAAGAGUAAAUGCUGAGGGAUUUUGUAGAUGGAAAUUUCGAGUGUAAAUUUUAUACAUUUACAUUAGACCUAACUAGGAGCAACUGCGAAAAAUGCAACUGUAUAUAUUGAACGAAUUGAAACCACUGAUUGAAACCCGGGCGGUCACACGUAAAUGACGUAAUACCACCAUGCUAGCCCAUAGACGGAUUUUCAUAUUUUUUACUGGGGUGGUGCCAGAAAUUUUAGGGGGGUGAGCCGUGAGCAGGUGACUGAAGCAACACAAAGUGUACCAAACCCCAGUAAGGUCUAUAUUCUAGGGGUGGAGCACUCGAGCCGCGAGGGGGAGUCUAGAGAGCAGAAAACAAAGUAUCCCUGGAAAAAUUUGAAAAAAAUCAUGAUUUCUAGCUUCGAAAAAACGUUUUUUGAAGUUGUCAUAUCAAUGGAUUUGGCCUGUCCGAUCAGGGCCGUAGCUAG